AGAAUUUUAGUUAAACUAUAACAUCUAAAUUGCAUUUAGAAAUUAUUUUAAUCAAAUAAAUUUUA
This 65-nucleotide transfer RNA is filed under the name Scolia bicincta. RNAcentral's name for it is "tRNA-Ala". The record is from RNAcentral. Lineage: Eukaryota; Metazoa; Arthropoda; Insecta; Hymenoptera; Scoliidae.